Molecule: long non-coding RNA, 1094 nt
Organism: Budorcas taxicolor (takin)
Lineage: Eukaryota; Metazoa; Chordata; Mammalia; Artiodactyla; Bovidae
Exons: 3
Source: RefSeq, a predicted model, not a curated record
UGAACAAGAUUACAACCUGCCACUGAUACCACUCGUCCACUACUUCCUGGAGAAUAUGUCCACUGAAAAAGACACCAGCUGAAGGACUCCUGCUCCUCUCCUGGGAAAUGACCUUUUCUGAAGUGAGAUUCAUGGAAAGUAACCUACCAUGAGCUCUUGAUGGCCACAUGGCUGCCCAAUCACAAGGCAUCAAACCUUGGGUAGAGACGUUACAACGGAUGAAGGCUCCACCUAUCUUCUGGUCCCUCCCCUCCUGCACAAAAGCUGGCAAUCUCAAACGAAACUGACUAGGGAGAGAAGUGGCCACCACAGAGAUCCCUCAUCCCCUGGCCAAGAGCUGAUGCAAAGGAGGCCACGAUCAGCAAUCUCUCCUUACCUCCUGAAGAUACUGCAGACCCUGCUGGUAAAGCAACAGCUGCCCAAUAAAAAAUCUAGACUGACCAGAGUUGUUCCUGAUGAGACAAGCCUCUGACAGCCUCUAGUCGAGCAAGGAGGUGUCUGUGCUGUGACCCACACCCCUGUACCUGGAUCGACACUUCGCGGGAAGGGGAGACUCAGCCACAGAAGACUACUGAACAAGCCCAGCACUUUCUUAGGCCAGCAGCCCAACCAACACAGUCGUUCUCUGGGGGUCAUUCUGGUUACAAGAGUAGUCACCGUAGGGUGCUGUGUUCUCUCAAAACCUUUAAAUACAGCUUUGCAGCCACAGGCAGCCAAGCACACGCUCUCCCUCGAAUAGAACAUCAGAAAAGGAACAGAAUGACUGACUGAAAGAAUGUGAACCCAAUGUCAUGACCUGUGAAGACCACACAGAGAUUCAACAAAAAGCCGGUAAGAACCCCAGAGCCAUAGCUGGGGGUAGCCCUACUGCCUUACAUUUGGAUCAUUUGGAUGAAAAGGGGAGAACUGUUAAAAACAGCAGGCCCGAAAUGCAGUUGUAUAGGCUAAGCUCCACGUCAUCACACCGAGACUUGACUUUACAGUUUCAGCUCCCCCAGGAAUGGAAUCCCCCAAUCCACACGAUAAGGACGUCACCUGCCAGACACCUGCUGUCCCCGCCUGCCUCUUCACCUGGUGUAACUGCCUGUGCUUGC